UAAUUUCACAGAGAGCCAAGAAAACCCAGG
This 30-nucleotide non-coding RNA is filed under the name Rattus norvegicus (Norway rat). Lineage: Eukaryota; Metazoa; Chordata; Mammalia; Rodentia; Muridae. The record is from RNAcentral.